RNAcentral lists this ribosomal RNA (468 nucleotides) under uncultured bacterium. Its description in RNAcentral is "partial 16S ribosomal RNA". It matches the Rfam family "Bacterial small subunit ribosomal RNA", at positions 28 to 507 of the family's 1533-position model. The record is from RNAcentral.
GACGAACGCUGGCGGCGUGCUUAACACAUGCAAGUCGAACGGAAAGGCCCUGCUCUUGUGGGGUGCUCGAGUGGCGAACGGGUGAGUAACACGUGUGUAACCUGCCCUUGACUUUGUGAUAACUUCAGGAAACUCGGGCUAAUACCGGAUAGGAUCUCCUGCUGCAUGGUGGGGGUUGGAAAGUUUCGGCGGUUGGGGCUGGACUCGCGGCUUAUCAGCUUGUUGGUGGGGUAGUGGCGUACCAAGGCUUUGACGGGUAGCCGGCCUGAGAGGGUGACCGGCGACAAGGGGACUGAGAGACGGCGCAGAAUGGUACGGGAGGCAGCAGUGGGGAAUAUUGCGCAAUGGGGGGGAGCGUGAUGCGGAAACGCCGGGUGCGGGAUGACGGGCUACGGGUGGUAAACCGCUUUGGCCUGUGACGAAGCGGGAGUGACGGUAAUGGGUAAGGAAGCACCGGCUAACUACGUG